CCAGCGACGCCGUGCCGCGACGCCGCCGGUCGGCGCUCUAUGCUACAAAUUCCGCGUGCAAACAUGAGGGAUCAGAGCCGGCAAAAUAUGAUGUUGCAUCGUGGCAUCGAUCAGCUGAGUAUUAAAAUCUGUCAUUGUGAAGAAAAAGAAGAAGCUCCAUUUCUCCUUGGUCGCACCAGGGUUGCCAUUUGUUUUAUUGAUAUAAUAUUAAUUAUUAGGCUUUUCUAGGAUUUUUGAUUGAUUAUUAAUUAGGCUACAGGGUGCACGUGCGACUAAAACUAUGCUCCCGCGUUUUUUGGCAGUUUUCGUCACAGGAGCACAGGUGACGGGUGCUCGACACGUUAGUCAUUCCGCGCAAUGGGCCUGUUGCAAACUUUUGCUAGAGCGAAAAUAAGUGUUGCUCCUUGUAGAAAAUGACCCAAAAAUCACGAUGAACGCAUUGGCAAACUCUGAAAUGCACUCAUAACUUCACAAUCUGCGUAAGAAAAAUGCGUUUUUUUGAGCUUCCCGCUUCAAAAAGGAUACUACGGCACAGGUGAACAUUUCGUGAGAGCAGUCGUUCCAUCAUACCCUUUUCCGCAUUGAGAUGCUGCGCAAUCUUCAAAAUGGCCGACGCUGUGACGAAAACACAUUACAACAGGACGAGAUUCUAACCUCUAACCACCUGUUAGUAACCGGCAUACCUGUUGCGUUUUCAUUCGCAUUUUGCUGUGUUGUGAAUCGUGAUAGUGUUUUUUCCGGCUUUGGAUAUGGCUAACUACAGUUUCUACGUACGGUGUUUUGUGCCGGGUUGUGAAUCGACCUCGAUCACAACUCCCACGAAAAUAUUUUUUAAUGUCCCUCGGGGAAACGAGAGAGAAAGGUGGAGUGCUGCGGUUGGGGUCCGGAGAGCCCUCUCCAAAUCCACACCUCACCGGUGCUGUGAGGAUCAUUUUAAUCUUGAAACUGAUCUCAAAGAUAAAUUCAAACUGAAAAAAGGAAUCCUGCCGCAUAUUAACAUACCUAACAACACUGCUGAGGUUCUGCUUCCUACCUGUGAUUCGAAUGCUAGCCCUCAAAUAGUUGCAGAAACUGAUGAUCACCAGGUAUCUCCUAUCUGUGAUUUUAAUGCUAGCCCUCAAAUAGUUGCAGAAACUGAUGAUCACCAGGUAUCUCCUAUCGGUGACUCAAAUGCCAGCCCUCAAAUAGUGGCAAAAACUGAUGAUCACCAGAUUUUUCCGAGGAGAAAAGCUGCAAAUUGCUGGUUUUUAUUGACUUAUUUGAAUGUACUGAUGCUGAAAGGAAUCAGGCAACAAAAUUUCAAUUCUUAUUUUUGGACAAAAAAAAACAGCAUUUCCAAUUUCAAAAUACAAAAUUUCAACAAAAUUUUCGCUAACCUGCUAACUUUGGUGACAAUUUCAUUCUAAAUUCCUACUUGAUAUUUGAUUGAUAAGAACUUUGCUCAGUUAUCCUCAAAGUUUUGUACUCAGUAUAAUGUAUCUUCAAACUUUUUGCUUACUAAAGGAAAUCAUCAUCAUUAUUUUACACAAAAACGCAAACAAGCGAAGUAACUUACAAAGUGAGGUUACGCAGUGUCUCACCAAGAUUUUGAUCUGAGUGUCUCCAAAACUUUCUUUUUAUAAAAUUAUUGGAUCCCUAUUUUGCCAUUUUUGCGAAAGGACCUUGGAAGUUACAACACAAAUUUUAUGAAAAAAAACAAGCAUGAGGAGCCGCUGGGUGAAGUAGCAAACUGACAUGCAUAUAGUUUCAGCACAGAGACAGUCUUACACUCAAGACUGUUGCGCAUUGCACAACAUGUCCCAGGGUUCACUCCUCAGCGUCUCACCAUAAUUUUUAUUCCUCUCUGUGAAUGAUUCCUUUGCUUUUUUCUGACUUCCAACUGUGAACAUAAAUAUCAUUUUCUGAAUACAUUAUUUUUAAAAAAUGAUAAAGGAAUAAAAAGUAUGAUGAGACGCCAUGGAUUGAACCUGGGACUUGUCGCCCAAUGCGCAAUGCUCCUGAAUGACUACCUCACGGCUGAGGCAACACAUGCAUCAGUUUGCAACUACAGCAAGCGGCCUUUUUUGCCAGUUUUUUUUUUUAAACUUCCAGAGCUCACUUGCAAAAACAACAAAAUAGAGAGCCAAUAAUUUGUGUAAAGAAACCUUUGGCCUCGCCAAAUCAACUUCUUUACUUUUAAAAAUAUCAGUAUGUGUACUGUAUUAAAAUUCACACUAUUAUUUUCCUUUAGAAUUAACAAUUUUUUGUAUGAAAGCCAAAACUAUUUGCUAUUCUGAGAGAUUUUUUUAGAUAAUUGUGAAGAAGCAACAUCUUUACAACACUGUAAUCGUGCAGGUUCCAUUUGCUAAAUGCAAUCCAAAUGUGAUUGACCUUUUUAUUAAUUUGUUUCGAAAGAAAUAUUAAUUGAACUCUGUUAAUUUUAUCCCAAAAAAUGAUCUGUAAAACUGUAGUUUGCAAUAAUUUGGGAACGCAAACAUUUUAUACAUUCAGUGUCAUUACAUGUCUAAACUGGGACACACUGAGCUAAACGGAACCAAGUCACAUCAGCCAUUUCCAAAUUUUAUCAAAUUCAUUUUUUUAAAUGGGAGAACAGUAGAGCAGACUCUUCUGAUAUUUUCAAGGGAUUUUUUCUGUAACGUGAUAUUUGAAAUUUUAAAAAAAAUAAAUUGUUGGAUGCUUGGCAAUGGCUGGUGUGGCUUGGUUACUCUCCGCUUAAAGCGGUCUAUGUAAUCUUGGUUACUUGAAUAUUCCUUAGUAUUGAAUAAUUAGAAGCACUCAUGUUUGGAAUUUCAAACUUCAUUUCUGACUAUUCACCCGGAAGAAGUCAAUAAAAAAUAAGCCCCUACAUUGGAAGUGAAGUUAAAAUAAAAAUUAUUGCGUUUUGAAAUUCUGCUCUCUUCUAAUAACUUUUGCUAUGUGAGAUUCUUGUUUGAAAUAGACGGGAAAUAAUGAUCAUAUUGAAUGUAAUCUGGAGACAAAAUGUCCAGAAGUAACGAUAAUCAUUGUGUAACUUUGAUAAAAAAAAAAAAAAAAAAAAAAAAAAAAAAAACUGUCCUGAAUGUCUAUAUUUCCUCAUGAGUUUGUUGUAACUGUAUCUCAAGUUAUUUUGUGAAAAUUUAAAAAAAAAAAUGAUCUUAGUUUUUUUCUCUUUUUUUAAGGAACCAAGUAAAAUCAGAAAUUUUGAAGGAUCCAAUCAGGAUACAUGUUAUUUGAGUUUCUUUUUGAUUAUACAUUCAGGCACUGAAACUUUGCUUCAUGUUUCACAAUUUCUGAUUUUUUUACUUAAUUGUUGAAUGAAUCUUUUCAGUAACUCAGUAGGUAGUAACUUAAACCAUUUUUAAAAUCAUCAUUUCCAAACUGCGCUGAAGUAGGUAAAACGGUGGCUCCAAGCAUUGAUACGUUUUUAUUGUUGUAAACAGGUUGCCAAAAUUAUAAAGAACACAAGAAUUACAUGAUCUCAUUAUAGUUAUUUUCAUUCAUUUUUUCUUAAAAUUGAAUGUACAAUCUGUAAAUUUAAGUUUUUGCAGCCUCUCUAUAAAAAUUGCACAAUGUACAAUAAAAAGAGAUUUGGUUCUUAUUAUACUUGGUUUGUUUUUUAAUUGCCCCCUUCAAAUAGCGGUGUUCAAUAUAGUUUUUUUGUUUUUGAAUUUUCACUCCCUGAAGUUUCCUAAAAUUAUUCAUCAUUAAUUUUAUUGCAAGUUGAUCAUUAAAUUAUCAGAUUUUUUUUUUCUCUCACUCUCUCUCUCUCUCUCUUUUCUUCCUUAUGAAUGCUCAAGUAAAAAAUUACCUACUCAUUGACAAUGCAUCUGGCAAAAAAGUUUCUUGUCUGUAGCGUUUCAAAAUCUCGGUUUCAAUUUUAUUUUAUCAGAGAAGAACAAACCAACGCUAGGUAUUGCUUAAAAUUAUCACCUAAUAUUCAUCAUGCAGAGAAGUUUCCAAGAGAUGAUGUGAAGUAUAUUCUCAUCUGCCAGGAAGUCUGCAGCACUGCAAACUGAGGUACUUACCUAUUUUUGCAGCUUUACCAUUGUUCAGUACCUAUGUAACUUGGAUACUUAUUGUUCGUCUGCCUGUAUCAGAGAGCCAUCAUCAUUCAGACUUGGAAUAAGAGACCCACAAUAACUUAAAAGUAAAACACUACAGCUCAACUUAGACAUUUUCAUCCCAUGAAAAUUGAAGCCAUAAUGUUGAUUUCUUUGUGCUUUAUAAACAUGAAAUGUGUGAGGAAAGGAGGGGUAUCGUUAAGGGCCUUUUUUGGCCCCACCCUAAAAUUCCUCAACUCCGCGAUUUUUUGGUCAUUGAAG
Molecule: long non-coding RNA, 4301 nt
Filed under: Bemisia tabaci
Lineage: Eukaryota; Metazoa; Arthropoda; Insecta; Hemiptera; Aleyrodidae
Description: lncRNA ENSASIAIIG008000
Source: RNAcentral